UGUUAAGUGUCAAGACAAAAGGAGUGUCCCUAAAACAAGGGUGCCUGAUCAUAGUCUCAAACAGCUCCUUGCUUUGCAUUAUCUUGUUCUGAAGCAGCGAUCCACUGCCACUGCUCUCGGGUGCAAGACACAUCUGAUCAUAGUCACUGAGGGCAACACAGAACACCACCACACGCACGUCUUCAAACAUUUCCACCCAUUUGCACCCCUCGUUCAUCCCCUUUGCAUUUACCCUAAUAAGUUGGUAUUUUGUAAGCGGCGGGGGUGGAGCUUCCAGAUUAUCUGUGUAUGUUUCAGACAUUGGGCUGCGAUCCUCAAGAGAGAAUUCUAUGAAAGACAGACCAUUCCCUUUGGUGACCCCUUCUGCAU
RNAcentral lists this unclassified non-coding RNA (369 nucleotides) under Hevea brasiliensis (rubber tree). Lineage: Eukaryota; Viridiplantae; Streptophyta; Magnoliopsida; Malpighiales; Euphorbiaceae. The record is from RNAcentral.